Molecule: long non-coding RNA, 490 nt
Organism: Camellia sinensis
Lineage: Eukaryota; Viridiplantae; Streptophyta; Magnoliopsida; Ericales; Theaceae
Source: RefSeq, a predicted model, not a curated record
UUAUAGGAGUACCAGUAAUUGCUUCAUGGCCCUGGGACACUGAGUGAGGAAAUAAACAGCGAAAAGCAUGGUCUUAGCCGUUGUUUCAUUUCCAGCAAAGAGAAGGUUGAUGAUGAAAUCUGCAACUGCAUCAUCAGGUGCUGGCAUCUAGCAGGGUCAAGGCCAAAUGGCUGGGGAUGGCUUCUAUCCAAAUCAUUGGAGGGUGGUGUUUGUGUAUUCUGGGAAGAUGGAUGCCUUUUUUGUUGUGUUUUUGUGUGACUUUUGAUUUGUUGCGGAUUGUGGUGAUGUUUUUUUAUAGGAAGAACUCAGGUAACUAGUUCUCAUGUAUGGAAGCUAAGAUGCUUGUUGUAAUACCUCUUAUGCAAGUCUUCAAUUGUAGCAAGGGUUGGUCCUGUUGUUUUUUUAGGUUGGUGUGGAUUGAUGAUUGAAGGAUGUUAUUGGGUGUACAUUCGAUUUCUGUUAUCGAUAAAGUAAACCUUUUUGCUGAUAA